GUUUCUUAAAUGUUGAAGCAAAAAUCUAUGUUAUUUCAUGGAAAAAGAUUAUUUUUAGAAUUUUGACAUGUUUAUUUUUUUUUUAUAUGGGAAUUGGCAACAUUGCUUUCAAAUAUGCUCGGUCAAAAUGUCGGGAAGCCGGCGUGUUCCUUAUACGAAAAAACUACCUUUUAAACAUCGUUAUCCCAGAGUUUACGCUCUUACGCUCACUACACUGGCAAUGUCAUUUUUGUUUAGUAAGAACAUCUAUGAUACAUAUUUAUAUUUAACGCAUAAGAUUCCAGAUGAAAAGAAUAAUAAAGAGGAGCAAGUAACAAGUUGAAAAUAAUUGUUAAAAUUUAUGUAAAUAUGUUAGGAAAUAUAAAUUUAACUUAACAAGGCAUAUUGAUUAUAAUUGCAAAUGCUGAAAUUAUAGUCAAAAUAAAAUGCCAAAUUUAAAAAAAAUAAUUGUAUCUAUGAAAUUUUAUAUAAAACAAAAUUGAAUAUCAG
RNAcentral lists this long non-coding RNA (489 nucleotides) under Androctonus crassicauda. The record is from RNAcentral. Lineage: Eukaryota; Metazoa; Arthropoda; Arachnida; Scorpiones; Buthidae.